This 492-nucleotide ribosomal RNA is filed under the name uncultured bacterium. Its description in RNAcentral is "partial 16S ribosomal RNA". It matches the Rfam family "Bacterial small subunit ribosomal RNA", at positions 29 to 507 of the family's 1533-position model. The record is from RNAcentral.
AGUGAACGCUGGCGGUAGGCCUAACACAUGCAAGUCGAACGGCAGCACAGUAAGCUCUUGCUCUUACGGUUUGCGACUGGCGGACGUGUGAGGAAUACAUCGCAAUCUUCUUUUUCUUGGGUGAUAACGUAGGGAAACUUACGCUAAUACCGCAUACGUCCUACGGCUGAAAUCAUUGGAUCUUCUCACCUUUCGCGUUUCUUUUAGCCGAUUUCGGAUUAGCUAGUUGGCUGGGUAAAGGCCCACCAAGGCGACGAUCCGUAGCUGGUCUGAGAGGGUGAUCAGCCACACUGGAACUGAGACACGGUCCAGACUCCUACGGGAGGCAGCAGUGGGGAAUAUUGGACAAUGGGCGAAAGCCUGAUGCAGCAAUACCGCGUGGGUGAAGAAGGCCUUCGGGUUGUAAAGCCCUUUUGUUGGGAAAGAAAAGAAGCAGGAUAAAACACGGAUGUUGUGACGGUACCGAAAGAAUAAGCAACGGCUAACUACGUG